Molecule: ribosomal RNA, 427 nt
Filed under: uncultured bacterium
Lineage: Bacteria
Description: partial 16S ribosomal RNA
Rfam family: Bacterial small subunit ribosomal RNA
Source: RNAcentral
UGGGGAAUAUUGGACAAUGGGCGAAAGCCUGAUCCAGCCAUGCCGCGUGUGUGAAGAAGGUCUUCGGAUUGUAAAGCACUUUAAGUUGGGAGGAAGGGCAUUAACCUAAUACGUUAGUGUUUUGACGUUACCGACAGAAUAAGCACCGGCUAACUCUGUGCCAGCAGCCGCGGUAAUACAGAGGGUGCAAGCGUUAAUCGGAAUUACUGGGCGUAAAGCGCGCGUAGGUGGUUUGUUAAGUUGGAUGUGAAAUCCCCGGGCUCAACCUGGGAACUGCAUUCAAAACUGACUGACUAGAGUAUGGUAGAGGGUUGUGGAAUUUCCUGUGUAGCGGUGAAAUGCGUAGAUAUAGGAAGUAACACCAGUGGCGAAGGCGACCACCUGGACUAAUACUGACACUGAGGUGCGAAAGCGUGGGGAGCAAACA